This 830-nucleotide ribosomal RNA is filed under the name Pseudomonas chlororaphis. Its description in RNAcentral is "bacterial SSU rRNA". It matches the Rfam family "Bacterial small subunit ribosomal RNA", at positions 88 to 915 of the family's 1533-position model. Lineage: Bacteria; Pseudomonadati; Pseudomonadota; Gammaproteobacteria; Pseudomonadales; Pseudomonadaceae. The record is from RNAcentral.
UGAUUCAGCGGCGGACGGGUGAGUAAUGCCUAGGAAUCUGCCUGGUAGUGGGGGACAACGUUUCGAAAGGAACGCUAAUACCGCAUACGUCCUACGGGAGAAAGCAGGGGACCUUCGGGCCUUGCGCUAUCAGAUGAGCCUAGGUCGGAUUAGCUAGUUGGUGAGGUAAUGGCUCACCAAGGCGACGAUCCGUAACUGGUCUGAGAGGAUGAUCAGUCACACUGGAACUGAGACACGGUCCAGACUCCUACGGGAGGCAGCAGUGGGGAAUAUUGGACAAUGGGCGAAAGCCUGAUCCAGCCAUGCCGCGUGUGUGAAGAAGGUCUUCGGAUUGUAAAGCACUUUAAGUUGGGAGGAAGGGUUGUAGAUUAAUACUCUGCAAUUUUGACGUUACCGACAGAAUAAGCACCGGCUAACUCUGUGCCAGCAGCCGCGGUAAUACAGAGGGUGCAAGCGUUAAUCGGAAUUACUGGGCGUAAAGCGCGCGUAGGUGGUUCGUUAAGUUGGAUGUGAAAUCCCCGGGCUCAACCUGGGAACUGCAUCCAAAACUGGCGAGCUAGAGUAUGGUAGAGGGUGGUGGAAUUUCCUGUGUAGCGGUGAAAUGCGUAGAUAUAGGAAGGAACACCAGUGGCGAAGGCGACCACCUGGACUGAUACUGACACUGAGGUGCGAAAGCGUGGGGAGCAAACAGGAUUAGAUACCCUGAUAGUCCACGCCGUAAACGAUGUCAACUAGCCGUUGGGAGCCUUGAGCUCUUAGUGGCGCAGCUAACGCAUUAAGUUGACCGCCUGGAGAGUACGGCGCAAGAUUAAAACUCAAAUGAAUUGACG